AAAGCUUAUGAAAUAUAAAAUUUUACAAUAAAACCUUAAAUUCCCACAAAUUAAUCUAGGAAAGUUAAUUUCUUGCUUUUUGCAGUCCUAUAUAAGCCCAAAAGAAAAGCCUGAAUUCUUGAACAAUGACCGUUCGCUAAAUACAGAACAGGUAGCAAAAUUAAAACGCGCAUGCACAGAACAGAAGUACAUUUCAAAUACCAACAUCCACAUAUUGCAAACAAAUUUUGACAUUAACAUCGGUCCUUCAAUUUCAAGCACAUUAAACUCCACUUAACAACAAAGAGCUACAGGCCCUAAGAUCCUAAACCCAUCUACCGAACAAAAUGCACAAACAGAGCCCUCUGUCUCUCCAUUUAAGACACAGUAACCUCAACUUUUUUGGCCUUGGGUGGUGGAGGAUGCUUCUCAACAACAACUGUUAGAACCCCAUUUUCGCAUUUGGCAGUAAUGGCAGAUACAUAGGCAUUUUAAUGGGAGAGAAUGCGGUACCAAAUAUAAUGGGAGACGAAGGAAAGUUCGAGAGGAGAUAUAGGAAGAGUCGGGAAGAAUCGCAAGCAUUAUGGAGUGAUCCCGUGUGUGCACGUGUACUUGUUAGGGACAUUGUGGAAUCUUGUUGAGUAGAUAUUUAAAACGUGGUGUGAAUGAGAAGGGUAGGGUGGCUAAUGAUGUUGAGACAGAACAAAUUGUUUUUGAAGAUGUUCCUGAGGGACAUCCAGUGCAAAUAAGUUCUAUUGUACAAGAUCGGGGUUCAAUUCCACUUUUCUGGUCCCAGGAAACUUCACGAUUGCAUAUUAAACCUGAUAUUAUAUGUGUGAUUUCGGCAGACUUAAAUUGUGAUAAUCUCAGUGGUAAUUUUUCAUAAAAUAUGCUGAUUUCUUGUUCUGUUCACAGUAUUGAAGAAAGACCAAAAUUAUGAGGCUACGAAGCUUCAUUUUGAAAAUCUUGUAAAGAGAUAUUGAAAUCCGAUAAUCAUUUUGAAUUUAAUAAAGGUAGGCCCCAGCAAUGUUUAAGAGAAAAAUUGUUACGUAUGUGCAUGACCAUGCAUGUAAAUGGAUCAUAAUCUUUUGGCAACUGUGUUCAUGACUGACAGACACAUGAAAAGAAGCCUCGAGAAAGUAUACUCCGCACUGAGUUUGCUAAUGCUAUCAGAUACAUAAAUAAAGGCUUAUCGGAGGAUAAGCGCCUUAGGUUCCUCCACUGGGAUUUGCAUAGACAUUCCAGAAAGUAUUAAGCUCGCAUUAGUCCUCCUUGUUUUUCCCUUCUCCAAUUACUUUUGGUGUUAUUGAUGUGAAUAUUAUUUGGUUGUUUUUGAACAGAGCUACCAAUGUAUUGUCACUUCUAGGGAAAGUGGCAGCAUAUGCGUUGAACUUGACUGGCAUCUUUUAUUGUCAAGUCACACCAAGUUUAAGGCCCAUUGGGUUUUUGUAUUCAUCUGAGUAAGUAAUGCUGCUGACUUCUUUACAGCAUUUUUCAUCUCUUAUGACAAGGUUUUCUGUGCUUUGAUUGUCCAUUUAAACAAUCUUUUGGCAUUGCUUUUGAACCUAUUUAUAAUUCACAGCAUUUGAUUUAUGAUUUGUUGAAUUGUAACGGCAAAGAUUCAUAAUGCUCAUUUAUUAUUCGAGGUUGGUGCUUGACCAGCUUGGGGAAUGCUUUUAGACAUUUAUAUUUGCUGGCUUAUGCCUUGAGGAAUAUUGUACUCCAUUAGCAACUUCUCAUUUUAGCCAAAUUACUAUCAUUUCUGCUUAAUUAUUGCUAGCUAUUUAUGCUGUUGGCAAUGUAAAUAUUCUCCAGAAAAAAUGAUGAUGAAUGCUCUCUCAAAAUUACUUCCAAUGAAAAUGACUUGAGAAGGAAUUUGGACUCAGGAAUUACCAAUGCUUGUUCUGAAGAUGACAUAAAUCAGAGUAUCAAGACCCCUAUGUUUCAAAAUGGGGUGCUAAGGACCAAUUGCAUAGACUGUUUAGAUCGCACAAAUGUUGCCCAACAUGCCUGUGGUCUGGUGGCUCUUGGUCAUCAACUGCGUGCUCUUGGAUUAAUAGAAUCAGAAAAUAUUGAUUUAGAUAAUCCGUUAGCAGAGGAUUUAUUGGGGAUCUUUGAGACAAUGGGUGACACACUUGCAUUACAGUAUGGUGGCUCUGCUGCACACAACAAGGUAAUUCUUUCUGAAUAAGGUUGAAUUUAAAAUUUUUAGAUAUUACACAAUGCAACUGGGAUUAGAGAUAUUUGCUUGUAAUAUGUUUGCCAGUAGGUCUAUUGCCUUUGUUCUGUUUGAUGAAUUUGAUGUAUUUGAUUUCUCCAAGAUUAUAAACUUGUGGCUGUGGCUGUUGCUCUUUAGUGAAUAACAUAGAAGUGUAGAAUUUUAGAAACAGCAAAGAAAUUGUGCGUGGUAGUUUUUAAUAAGUAUAUUUUAAAGUGUGAAACAAAUGAGUAUGAUCUAUCAACCAUGCCAACUGGUGGUGUUAUUAGGUUUGAAAUUUAAUUUAACUUAAGUAACUUCGCAUGCAGUCAUCUAUUUGGUUGUGCCGAGGAAAGAACAAAGAGUUUAAUUUUGAUGUCUGAACCUGUCCAUCAGUGAUGAAGUAAGCAAGCUGAGUGAGUUAAGACAAAUUAUUUAGUAUAGGAAGCAAUUUAGAUACUAAUAUUAUUAGUUAAUCAUUUUAAAAGUAGAAGAAUUAUAUGCUUUUCCUAUCUUUAUUCUUAAAAUAAUUUAUUUACCACUCCUUGGGACAGCUGUAGUUUGGAACUUUACUUCUAACAUUUGAACCCCUUCUUGUAGGCUCAAAUAAACUACUUUUUCAUUAGAGUGAAAUCCAGUUGAUAUUGGGUUACAAUUUGCCCUUUGGCAUAUCGGAUGAGACUCAUUUGUUCUUUUCCCGUCUAGAUGCUUUGAUUUCUCUAGACUAGAAUUCGUUGGUUCCCGUUUGUCACUGUUUUGAAAUGAUGUUAACAGAUAUUUUAAGAAAGGAGAGGCCAGAGGAAAGCUGCAACUCAGUCCCAAGAGUUUUUUAGAACUUUACAGCGUUAUUACAGCAAUGCAUACAUGGAUGCUGAAAAACAAGACGCUAUUAACGUGUAAGUUAAAUCUGCUUUCUUUUCAAAAGCAUCAGAGUUUUUCCUGGAAUAGAAGCUACAAGGCAUUCUCAAAUUUUGAUAUGAGGUGCACUGGCAUGGGAAAGUUACUUGUUUAACAUGACAGUAAUUUUUAAGCAGAUUCUUGGGUCACUUCCAGCCACAACAGGGAAAGCCAGCAUUAUGGGAAUUGGAUUCAGAUCAGCAGCACAAUGUUAGAGGACAUGGUCCUGAUUUGGUUGAUGAGCGUGCUAGGUACUAUAUUCCUCAUGAUUGCAAAUAUUCUCCGCAUGAAAAUUUUGUUCAUCAGCAAACAAUGCGUUAGUGCUACUGUGGUUUCCUUAGAAACUACAAAACAUUUCAGAAAAUCAUGUCAGAAAUUCGCACAUUUUGCUUUUAUCAGAUAAUAGAAAUAAGUAAUCAUACAAAAAGAGGAUGGAGCUUCUGAAUGCAGGAGAACCCAUUUAACACAUAGAUCACAGACCUCUUCAGUUGAAAAUCUCUCUCAAUUGUAUGGAUCCUGUUCUACUGUUAUUGUACAGAUAAAUUUCUCAGCUUAAAGCUAAUUUUUUUUUUUUUUUCAUGAUUCUCUUUUUUUUUUUUUAUAAAAUUAUUGUUCUCGCAUCUUAUGAAAUCAUUCAGUAUUUUUAUCUUGAAAAUUGCAGAUGACCAUUUCAUAUUUGUGUCUCAGUAGAAUUUGUGUGCUUUUGGGCCAGGAUAUACAAUGCAAACUGAUCCAGGACCAAGAGUUCCUUUUUUGAAUUUCUAACAUUGAUUUCUGCUAUCUUCAGGUCAUUCAUUAAAAGGUCACUAUCAGAUUGGGAGCUUUUUUUCAAUUCAUGUAUAAUAAAAAAAAUAUUUAUUAAACCACGCAGAAUCCGAAAAUAUUUUCGAAUUCUUUGUGUCAAACAAAUAUGUUCGACACUAUGAUUGUCGAACACGCUUGUUCGACACUCAUAGUGUCAAACAAAGUACGGAAGCAUGUUGUUCGACACUAUUAGUGUCGAACAACAUGCACAGCUCAUUCACGUCCAAGCCGUCAAGCCGUCAAGGUGUCCAUCAAAUUGCUGGACAUGUUCGGGUCCUUCCUCUAACAGUUUUAUAUAAAAAUAAUAUUUUAUUAAUUUUUUAAUUUUUUAUAAAUUUAAAAAUUAAUUAAUAAAUUUUUUAAAAUUAUAAAAUUUAAAUUAAAAAAAUUUAAAAAUAUUUUUUAAUUUCAAAUGCUUUUCAUUUUUAUUUAUUAAAAUUUAGCCUUUAAAUAAUUAAAUUCUUUUAAAAAUAUAAAAAAUAAAUUAAAAAUAUUUUAAAAAUAUUUUUUGACGGCUUAAAUUUUCUGCAAUCCAUUGCUUCAUANNNNNNNNNNNNNNNNNNNNNNNNNNNNNNNNNNNNNNNNNNNNNNNNNNNNNNNNNNNNNNNNNNNNNNNNNNNNNNNNNNNNNNNNNNNNNNNNNNNNNNNNNNNNNNNNNNNNNNNNNNNNNNNNNNNNNNNNNNNNNNNNNNNNNNNNNNNNNNNNNNNNNNNNNNNNNNNNNNNNNNNNNNNNNNNNNNNNNNNNNNNNNNNNNNNNNNNNNNNNNNNNNNNNNNNNNNNNNNNNNNNNNNNNNNNNNNNNNNNNNNNNNNNNNNNNNNNNNNNNNNNNNNNNNNNNNNNNNNNNNNNNNNNNNNNNNNNNNNNNNNNNNNNNNNNNNNNNNNNNNNNNNNNNNNNNNNNNNNNNNNNNNNNNNNNNNNNNNNNNNNNNNNNNNNNNNNNNNNNNNNNNNNNNNNNNNNNNNNNNNNNNNNNNNNNNNNNNNNNNNNNNNNNNNNNNNNNNNNNNNNNNNNNNNNNNNNNNNNNNNNNNNNNNNNNNNNNNNNNNNNNNNNNNNNNNNNNNNNNNNNNNNNNNNNNNNNNNNNNNNNNNNNNNNNNNNNNNNNNNNNNNNNNNNNNNNNNNNNNNNNNNNNNNNNNNNNNNNNNNNNNNNNNNNNNNNNNNNNNNNNNNNNNNNNNNNNNNNNNNNNNNNNNNNNNNNNNNNNNNNNNNNNNNNNNNNNNNNNNNNNNNNNNNNNNNNNNNNNNNNNNNNNNNNNNNNNNNNNNNNNNNNNNNNNNNNNNNNNNNNNNNNNNNNNNNNNNNNNNNNNNNNNNNNNNNNNNNNNNNNNNNNNNNNNNNNNNNNNNNNNCUGCGUGAUUUAAUAAAUAUUUUUUUUAUUAUACAUGAAUUGAAAAAAAGCUCAUCAGAUGGCAAUCUUCUUUGUGAAAGUGACUCGCUUGUAACAGCUACCAAGGUUGCACAUAAUAAGGCUUUUUCCGAGGAGCAAGGAGUUUGCAAGGGUCUUUCAGAUUCAACUCCAGAGAUCUCCACCUGUGAAAGUGAUAUGUCAUACUCUAGGUCUGUAUUAAAUCACAUCUCCAUACUUGUUACUUCACCACAUCACUUUUUGAUACAAUACACCCAUGUUAAAACACAUUGUAAAGUAGCAUAUGUAAAUGCUAAUGCCCAAGAAAGCCAGGCUUGUAAGUGUUAACCAGCUUUUCAAAUUUAGCAUGUAAUAAUUACAUUCAACAGUCGGUAAAUUUAAUGUUCAUGAACUCUGAUGAGAGAGCAUUCAACUGCAUUGCUGCUGACAGAAUGUUGGUUGUCAAUUUAGGUAUACUCCCUCAAUGCCUCGCAUGCAACUUUUUAAAGAUAUAGGGGAAGAAUACUAUGAAAGUGAUCCUAUUUGCUAUGAUGAACAUGGGGAUGCAUGUAGUUGCUCAAAUUUUCUUGACUUGGACUGGCUUUCUUCAUCAGGGAAUUCUUGUGAAGGAGAUCCUUUCGAUAGGUAAGUUUAUGGUUCCACCGAGUUCUUGAACGCAGUGGCUUACAAAUAAUAGUUAACGCCCAUUGAUGUUUUAAUGGUUGCAGGUCAAUUGCUGGCCUAUCACAUGAUUGUCUUGUGAAUGAACUGAAACGCGAAAUAUCUGCCAGUGAGUCUGGAUCUAGCUCGAAGGUUAGUGUUGAAUAUCUGACACUUACGACAUAGCGGUUCCACGGGAGGAUGUCUAUAGAUGAUAAAUUAAUUUCAAUACAUGCUUCUAGGCAGAUAAUAAUCAUUUUACGUUUCGUUGAGAAAAUUUUCUUAAUUAUAUUAGAAAUAUUAAAUAUUAAAUUGAAAAAAUUACUAUUUAGUCCAUACUAUAUUUAGUAUGGAAAAACUCAUUAGUUAGACUUUUGAUUUUAAAAAAUGCAUUAAAAUGUCCCUAACAUUUUAAAAAGUUUAUUAGGUAUUUCUUCCAUUAAUUUUAAUCGUUAAGAAUUAUAAAAAAAUUAAAAUAUUUAAGGAAUUAAUUAGUAAACUUUUUAAAAAUUUGAGAGAUCAACUAAUAAGUUUUUCAAAAUUAUAAGAACUAAAUAGUAAAAUAUUUAAUAGCAAAAUUAACAUUUGAAAAAUUAUAAGAACUAAAUAGUAAAAUAUUUAAUAGCAAACCUAGCAUUUGAACUAAGUAGUAGACUUUUUAAAAUAUUAAAAACGGUUUAAUAUAUUUUUUAAAAUUAAAAAAAUAAUUAAUGAAUUUUAUCAUAUUAUAGGAAUAAAUUUUCCGUAAGAAUAUCAAUAUAAUAAAACAACAUUUUCCCUAUGGUAUCUAAAAUGAUGUUUUUCUAAAAAACAAUUCUGGUUUUGCACAUCAGUUAUAAUCUUAUAAUUUGCGUGGCUGCGUUAGUUUCAAAUAUUAAUUUAGCAUAUUCCUUUUACCUCUAGGGAAGAAAUCAAACCGGGACUGACAUCUCUUCCGAAGACGAGACAGUCAGAGAGGUGGAUUUUCAGAGCGGUUUCUAUGGUGGGUAACACAUGGGGAGACACUUUUUCAAAUAAGUUAGUUAUUUUGGAUUUGAGAUGAUAGUAAUUUAUCCGAUUUCUUUGGUCCCAUCCGAAAGAUGUGAAUUACAUAAUAGAGAAUAAAGAGUAGGAGACCUUCCUAAAGAUAAGAAAGGCACCGGCAUCUCCUGAAACUAUGUACUGAAUUACUGUAAUGGUAGUGUCUGAUUUUUGUUCAGAAGGGUGUGAUCGAGGCAACACAACACGAACAUGCUAAUUCAUUUGGAGCUCUCAGCUCAGGUUCUCCAACUCCUCUAAGAUAAAAAAUAAUCUUACAUUUAAAUUUCAAAUCUAGAUUCCUAGUUUGCAAUUUAGGUUAAAUUUGUAGUCAGUCUUUAACUCUUGUUUAUAAAAUGAACUCAUUAUUGACAGCUGCUUCAAUAGUAGAUCUCGUUAAUAAGGCAAUACUCGAGUGAUAACUUUGCGAUCGAUUAAUUCAUAUAGACAUUUUGUUUUAUAUAUUCAUCGCAUCAUCCACUCCGAGGGCAAGCUAAUUUCUGGAAACCCAUGCCCACGCUGCAUCAUCAGGGUGAAGCAAUUUUUCAGGUAUUCUUUUUUCUAAUGAACAGGCAAAGCAGCGGAAAAUUUAAUAGUUUCAAAGACUGAUUUUGGGGAGGUUGAAAACAUUCACCGAAGUAACGGCUUGAAUUUUAACGGCUUGAAUUUGUUACGUAUAACAGGUUAAACUGAUAGUUCAAGUUUUUCCAUAAUCAGUCAAAAUUUCAAUCGGUAUGGUUUUUUUUUUUCAAAAGACCCAUCUUAUAUAUCGGCCACUCCAUUAACUUUUUCUUUUUUGAACUUUUCAACAUUAAAAAAGCAAGAAAACUUGUCUGUUGAAAAAUAAGAAAACAACAUCACUAGGUCAAUGAAGAUCAACUUUCAAAAACUUUGAUGUUCGUAAUCCCUUAAAAAAAAAAAACUAAUAAAAUUUUAAUAUGUAUAGAAAAUCCUCAUGCUUUACUCAUCCCAGCCAGUAGGAGCAAGCGCAGGGGUGGGGGCUGCUGCACCUGCAAAUUGCGGGGUGGGGGCUGCCGCUGCACCUGCAAUAUGCGGGGUGGGGGCUGCCGCUGCACCAGCAAAUUGCGGUGGUGGAGCUGCAGCAUCCCAUUCUGUGGUGAAUCCACCUAAAGUUGAACCCAAAAAGAAGUGUUGUCAGAAAGAAAAGAAAUCGGAAAAAAAAAAAGGGAGUUGGAUCAAAAGCAGCAUCUGACAACUUCAUGAAAUGUAAAUUUAAAAUGAUUAAGGGAGCUAAACUGGUGUUGGAGUAACUCAAUACCUUGUUCUGGAUAGAAAUUGGCAGCAGGAACAGCAGCAAUAGGUGGUGGAGCUGCUUCAGCAGUCCAUUGGCCAUCAGCAAUUUGGGCACCCCAAUCAGCUGCAGGAAGCCCAUAAUCAGCAGGAGGUAGUGCAUAAUCAGCAACGGGCACUGCUUCCUCCUCUUCCUGUUCCUUGGUUUCCUCAGGUUCUCUAUAGAAAAACAAGUCCACCUGCUCAUGGAAAGAUAAAAGGAUAUGUAAUAAACUAAAGUAGAAAAAACACUGAUGGCCACUUAUGCAAGCAUCAAUGAGACAGGAAUAUAAUAUGCCUUAUUCAUAUAAAUAGCAGUUAUAAAUGCCUACAUUUUCUACAGGUGACUACAUGAGUCGGAGGAUGUGUGUUCAAGCAAUGAAAUUGUAUAUACUAGGAAUUGAAAGAGCAAACAAUAGAUUGGAACCAUUGAAUGCAAAAAGCCAUCAGCUACUAUGAGUGUACCAUAACAUCCCACUUGUGCCCUUGAGGAAUAGUGCCACGCAUCUGUAGAACCAUUCUUGCCAAGAGCCAAAAUAGGCACCCAAUACUGUGCUUUCCUUUGUUAUUUGCAGGGAUGCCAAUAUCCACAUAACGCAUAGGAGAAUCAGUAUCACAGAAAGCGAUGGUGGGAAUGUUUCCUAGAGAAGAUUCCUUAAUAGGCUGCAUCCGUAAGAAAAGUUAGAAUUCAGUCAAGGUUCAUAUAGGAAAUAAAGCAUUCAUAAAAAAGGCAUCCACACUAAGCUUAAGGCCAUGAAUAGGGGAGGAUUCACCUGGUGAUCAGUUCUUGGAUCAGUGAGUAUCAAGAGACGAGGCUCACUGAAAGAUGUUUGGAGCUGGUUAGUGAAUGUACCGGGAGUGUGCCUUCCAGCAAUAGCAUGAGCACCGGUGUAUUGAGCAAACUUGAGGACUGCUCUUUGACCAUAAGGCCUUGCAGACUGGACAAUAAUGUCCUGAGGGUUCUCAAUGCCAACAAUAACCCUAGCAGCCAGUUGAAGUUUUUCCCAAGUCUUACCAAGAUUGAUAAUAUAAAUUCCUGGGAAGGAACAAGGAGAAAUUCAUACCAACAGCAUUAACAUCUUGACAGCACAUCAAACUUCAGGAUUUAGAUAAGCAACAUUAAAGACAAGCAAGACUAGGAAAUAGAUUCUGGAAUGCAAAAUCACGAUGCAUACAACUAAUACAUGUAUAUGAAUCUCUAGAACUGCUAAAAUACAACUUGUAUAUGCACCAGUGUCUCCAAGAAAAAAGCAGUAUUUCCGUAAAGAUCAAUUCGAAUUAAAAAGUAACUACUUCAAACAAGACAGAUUCUUAAGCAAUUCAAGUAAUCCAAUUCCAUAAUAUAUCUUCCUUGUACUCUGAUUCAUUCACAAAGCAGCUUAAGAGGCUAAGACUAUUGAAUCAGUGAUUCGCUUUCUUCCUAAUUCUACACAAAAUUCACAUCAUCAAAAUAAAAAGAAAAAAAAAGGGGAUUAUAUCAGAACUAGUCCCGGAUGAUCGAGUGGAAACAUAAUCAUCUGCAGCCAUUGAAUAUACCGCUUAACGGAGAUCUUCCUAAUAAGAUAAUCAAACUUACAUAUGUAUCCAAGAGAGAGUAAAAUACCAUCAUUUCGGCGCUUGAACACGUAGCGUUCCAUCUGGAAGUCGCAGUUCUUAGUGCCGAGGUGAACUUCGGCAGCCAACAUCAUCUGUAUAUCCAACUCCUUCUGGGACAAAGUCCGGGUGGGAGCUGCUGCCGUCGCCAUGGCUUCUAUGAAACAGCUUGAGAGGAAGAGAACUGUAACCGUCUGUGUCAGAUAGAGAGCGAGGGAUGUGCUAGGUUUUUCCGAGGGAGACUGAGAGAGUAUAACUAGGGUUUUUAAGGACCGUCGAAAUUAUGCGCCUUUUAGGGCUCGCUCACAUCUGAAAUUGCCUAAAUUUAGAAAUCAACACGUUUCAUAUUAGAAAUUUCGUAAAUUUAGAUUAAUUUUUUAUUUUUAAAAUAAAAUAAAAUAAGUAUGUCUAUUGAAAAAUAAAUUAUAUUAAAAUUUUAAAAAAAAUAUAACAAAAUACUAUAUGAUUUUAAUUUAUAUUAAAAUAAUAUAUAUAAUAUUGUAAUUAUCAAUUAAAAAAAUAUAAAAAAUAUUUUAUAAAUUUAUUUAUUUUUAUUUUAGAGUAGAAAUUAAUUUAUAUUAAAUUAAUUUUUAUAUUAAUAUUUUUAAUGUUAUUUAAAAAUUAUCUCCACUUAUUAAUGGUACAAUAUUAUGAGUAUUUGAUUUGAAUUAAAAAAUUAAUAAAAUUAUAAAUUUUUUUUCUUUUCCCUAAAAUUUAUUUCAAUAAAAAAUAUUGAAAUUAAAAGUGUAUUAAGAUCUCAUUUCAAACUCUUAGAUUUUUCAAGAAGCAAAAUGAAAUCCACUAGAAUAGACAUCCUUUUUAUUUCUUAUUUUGGUUUUUUUUCAGUAUACUAUUUUUAAUUAAUUUAUUUUUUUAAAUGGGGAUUGAAAGAGUAGAACAUGAGAUCUCUUAGAUUUACUUAAAUGCAUUUACAACCAGACCAUGUCUGUGAGUGUAAGGCAUCAAAAUUAUUUAAUGAUUAUAAAAUUAUAAUUUACAUACAUUUUUUUAAAGAUACAUGUGAGAAGAUAUAUAUAUAUAUACUUAAUAAUAAAAUUUUGAUGCAUUUUAGGAUAUUAUUAAAACUAAUUGUCCGUCUAAGAUCAUUGAUAGAACUUAUUUUUUAUUUAAAAAUACUAUUGAGAACACCAAUUUAACACAACUCUCUUAUUGACUUUCAAUUAUAACACUAAAUUUUAAAUUCUUUAUUAACAAACAACUUUCUAACAAGUUUUUUAACACGUCUUUAAAUUGGUUUAGCACUAUUCAAAUUAAUAGCAUAUUUUGAUGCAUGCCUUAACCCAAAAAAAAAAAAUUCCGUAAAUAUACCAACCAAGAAGUCCUAUCAAAUGUUUCCUAUUUAGCCUAAUCCUUGCAAGCUUUUCAAAAUGGGAUUGAACUAAGCAAACUUACCAUUAAUACAUUCUAACUUCCAAUUUCUAUGUAUUCACUUCUUUAACAUGGCAAAUUAAGAAGUGAUCUCAACGGUUGCAAAUAAGAAAAUAUAGCAUCACUACAUCAAGGUUUAUGUCAAAAUUUUAAACUCCAAAUGUCUACAACUUAGCUAUGCUCUAGGUAAUUAUAAAAUAAAAGAAAAGGGAAAUUUGAUGUUGCUUAAUCCCUCAAGCAAGUAAUAAUCACGAAUAAUAACAAUAAAUAUGGUAUUGAUGUUAUCUUGUUUCACUCAUCCCAGCGAGUAGCAGAAGGUGCAGGUGCUACUGCAGCAACAAAUUGGAGUGGAGCUGGAGCUGGAGCUGGCGCAGCAUCCCAUUCACUUGAAGUAGGAACACAUAAAGAUAUUAUGUCAGGGGCCAAAAUCACCACCACUAGCAUGGUGAAACGCAUGUAACAUUGCAAUGGUAUAGCAAAAAAUUGUAAAUAUAUAAACAGGAUCACAAGGUAGAUUAAAUGAAGUUUACUAGUGUUUGAAUAACUUAUACCUUGAUCUGGAUAUACGGCAGCGGGAACAGUUGAAAUAGGUGGUGGAACUGCUUCAACAUUCCACUGGCCAUCAAUAAUUUGGGCACCCCAAUCAGCAGAAGCAAGUCCAAAAUCAGCAGCAGGGAGUGCAUAACCAGCAAUUGCUACCGCUUCCUCCUCUUCCUGUUCCUUGGUCUCCUCAGGUUCUCUGUAGAAGAAUAAGUCCACCUGCACAUGGAAAACAAAUAAAUGGAAAUGUAAUAAACCUAAAAGCUUGAAAUUGUAGCCAAUUAUGCAAACAAAGUGAAAAAAAAAAAUAUAACCAAAGAAUAUACUUUUAUGAGAAAGGAGCAUCAUAUAACUUGUCCAUAUGCACACAUAGCUAUGAAAUGUCGACAUAGUUUAUAGGCCAAUAAACACAUAAGGUAAUAAGAUGAGUGUUCACAUUAUCAAUUUGUAAAUAUCACAAAUCAGCAGAGAUGUUUGUAAAAUGAGCAGCCAUUGCCAAAAAAAUAAUUAUCUGAUAAUGUGCAUGUACCAUAACAUUCCACUUGUGCCCUUGAGGAAUAGUGCCACGCAUCUGCAGAACCACUCUUGCCAAGAGCCAAAAUAGGCAUCCAAUACUGUGCUUCCCUUUGUUAUUAGCAGGAAUGCCAAUAUCCACAUACCGCAUAGGAGAAUCAGUGUCACAGAAGGUAAUGGUUGGAACGUUUCCAAGAGAAGAUUCCUUGAUAGGCUGCACAUAUAAGACAAGUUAGAAUUUGGUCAAGGUUCAUAACUUCAUAUAGGAAACAAACUAUUCAUAAAAAUGGCAUCCACACUAAGAUUAAAGUCAUGAAUAAGGGAGGAUUCACCUGGUGAUCAGUUCUUAGAUCAGUGAGGAUCAAGAGACGAGGCUCGCUCAAAGAUGUUUGGAGCUGGUUAGUGAAUGUAACAGGAGUGUGCCUUCCAGCAAUAGCAUGGGCACCAGUGUAUUGGGAAAACUUGAGGACUGCUCUUUGACCAUAAGGCCUUACAGACUGGACAAUAAUAUCUUAUGGGUUCUCGAUGGCCACAAUAACCCGGGCAGCCAAUUGAAGUUUUUCCCAUGUCUUUCCAAGAUUAAUAAUAUAAAUUCCUACAGAAUGAACUCCAAGUAAAUAUCAACAUCCAAAAGAUCUUGGCACAUUAAAGUUAAGCAGUAGGAUAAAGAAGGCCAAAGAUGACAUGGACAGUAAAAAACUUGUGUAUGAGAGUUACAUGUGCACAUAAGGAUAUCAAGUAAUCCAACUUUUUAAAGAAAAGCAACUAUAUAAUCAUCAAUUUAACAGUCAUGAAACAAAUAAAAUUAUUGAGCGAGUAAUUCAAAAAAUCCAAUUAGCAACUGUCAACUCCAUUUUACUCCAUAUCUUAGGGAUUCCGGUAGUAACUGAAAUCGAUUGAACCAUUAAGAGCGUGACUUAUGGCACUCAUAUUUCGCACUGAAAGUAAGACUUACGACAACUAUCAAACGGUUGAAGCCAUAACUUACAAAUUCACGUAAUAUCACGUAUUUAGACAAUGGUCAAAUUUUGUAUCCAAGUUACAGUCGAAGGUGAUUUGAGUGGAAACACAAUAACCUAUAGAUAUUACGGAUACCACAGAUAUGAGAUCUCCCACUAAGCUAUUCAAUUAUCAUUCAUAUGAUAAAAAAACAUCCAAUCAAAAAUUGAAGGUCCUAAAAAAUUACAAUGAAACAGAAUAAAAGCACUUCAAGUAAGAAAAUUUGCACACAUAUGUAUGUAAAUGCAAAUGAAGGAGGGAGAUAGUAUAUACCAUCAUUGUGGCGCUUGAAAACGUAAUGUUCCAUCAGGAAGUCGCAGUUCUUUGUGCAGAGGUGGACUUCGGCAGCCAACAUCAUCUGUAUAUCCAACUCUUUCUGGGAUAGAAGUCGUGCUAGUGCUGCUUGUAACGACCCGAAAACUGGACCGCUACCGGCGCUAAGAUUUAGGUCGACUUAAGGUCGUCGGAACCCGUAGCAAGCCUACUAUACAUCCUGUGAACCUGAUAAAAUCCCAUACAUGAUCAUACAUUUUCAUAAAACUUAAACAUUUCACGAACCAAUGCCUGACCUGUGCAUGCAUCAUAAACUGUAAAUAUAAAACCCACACUAGAUCCCUCUCUAGUAUGGUAAACAUCACAUGUCUCAAGCUUGGUUCAACAUAACUCAUCAUUUAAAACUUUUACAUAAAGAUCAUAAACAACGGGGAUUUACAAAAACAUAUACUAGGGCCAAGCACAAUUCUAAUCCAUUAAUUAAUACAUGUCCACAACUAUUCUAUUACAUUAAACUAUACCAGCCAUUAGCCGACUCUCCCGAGCUAUCUUUGACCCCGCAAACCUGGGGUUAGGGGAAAGGAAUAAGCUACAAGAGCCUAGUGAGCAGAACAUAAAAACAGUUUAAUAAAUAUAUGCUCAUAUGGAAUGCAUCACAACACAAACAAUUCACAUCAAGAUGGACUUGUCACCAGUAACUCUCUACAUAAUCCAAUGUGCCCGGCCCAUUACGAGUGCUCCUCAGGACUUUCGCUUAAACAUAACAUAACAUAUCCAAUAUGCCAAGGGCGUAGAAUGGGCCUCACCUAGACUUUCCCUUACAUAAUGCCAGGGGCGUAGAAUGGGCCUCACCUGAACUUCCGUAUCCGUCAUAACAUAACCUGCUCGAGGGCUAGUGUGUCAUCCAAUAUCCAUCCACAACAACAGUAAAUUAUGCAAUGCAUCAUAUUCGUGAAUUCUAAUGCAAACAACCUAUUACAUAACAUGGCAUUCAUGAUGCAUGAACAUGCUCAAAAGUUUGAUUACUUUAAAAUAAUAAAUUUGUUUAGUUCUACUCACCUCUGGCUGACGCUUGCCUAACACUAUAACAGCUGACUCACUGCUGGCCUCUACGGUCUCCCAGGUCCGAUCUUACACAAAUGGACUCCAAUGAGGGACCAAACAUAGCUAUUACAAGACUCUAAACACUCCUCAAAAAAUCCCCUAAAACAUAACAAAACAUGCAUAGGAAACAAGCAAAGGAAGGCUGGGUAGAGGACUUUCGGCGGCAGGUUCGAUAGCCGAAGAUCCCCAUAGAUCCGAAAGUCACUAACCUUCGGGGGCAGAUUCGGCGGCCUAACCCCUUCAUAGAUCCGAAAGUCCAUCCUUUCGGGGGCAGGUUAGGCGGCCAAAGGCUGCCUCCACAGGCAGGUUCGACGGCCGAAUCUUGCUUCAGCGGCCGAACCUGGGUUCUCCAGAAUGGCAGAACCCGAUUCUGUCUUAUGCACUCAGACACCAAAACUUCUCAAAUCCUCACAUCCAACCCCUCAAAACAAGCAUAUUCACUCAAACAUGCACAAGGGGCAUAACAACUAGCCUAAACCCCAAUAAACAACUAUAAAACAUCACAAGAGCAAGCAUUUAUCAUCAAAACUAACACAACCCUAAAACUUUAGAUCUAAUUAUUUCAUGCAUUUUUAACCCUUAACCUUUUCUUAAAACUUGAUUAAAACAUAAGAAAAAAUAAAGAUCUAGACUUACCUCUUAGAGAUCUAGGAGUGACAGCAACCCCGACGUGGAAAUGAGUCCAAACGGUCUCUAGAUUUCUCCAAGGUUUCAAAACUUGGAUUUAAGCUCAAAUCUUCAAAACGAAGGAAAACUCAUGAAUAUUUUGAAGCAUUUGAAGGAAAAACAACAAAAUCAACAAUGGGGGGGCAAGAACUCACCUUUGCCCAAAAAUGGAGAGAAAAACUCUCCCAUUUUCGGACUGGAGGCCCUUUAUAGAUGGUUGGCCAGAACACCUUCGGGGGCCGAAAGGAGAGCUCCCGCGGCAGCACCAUGUUCGGCGGCCAAACAUAAGGUUCGGUGGCCGAACCUAGUUUUUCCCCCCAAAGCAUUUUUCUUUCUUUUAAAAUAUUCUUUAACAUAAAACCAACCGUAAAACCAUAAAAUUCAUUUUGUGAAAAACUUAUUUUACCCUUCUAAGAUGUUCCGACAUCCAAGAUUCCAGAUUCCAAUGAGAAUUCCAUCGAAAGGUUGGAAUUCUGACGCCGGAGUCUAGCCGAGUAUUACACUGCUGCUAUGCCGAUCGCCAUGGCUGCGCAAAGCGAGAGCUCGAUUGCUUGAGGGAGACGGAGCGAGAGUAAGACCGACAGAUGAGGUAAGGGUUCUUUAACAUAGUGAGGUGAGGGAAGAAACUAGGGUUUUAAGGGCCUGUUGAAAUAUUAGCGCGUCUUGGGUUGGCAAUUUUUAGGAAAGCCUAAACUCCAUGGAAGUUUAAAGAUUAAAGCCCCUUCAAAAUCCACGUUGAAUUUUUUUUUUAAAUGUCAUUCAAAUAUUUAAUUAUUUUAUAAAUUUAUAAUUGAAUAUACUAAAUUUGAUAUCAAAUUAGUUUUCAAAUAUUUUAUACUUUAUGUAUUUAAUGUAAUAUUAUGUUAUCUAUGAAUAUAUUUUCAUGAAAUUAAACAAUGUUCUAAAGUCAGGUAUGGUUUCUUCUAAAAUAGGUAUUUUAUUUGUGGAAAAUUAAUCAAUAAAAUUAAGAUUUUUUACGAGUUUGCCGUAGUGAUAUUUCUAUCAAAGUUUAAAAUCCCCUACUUUCUAACUUAGUUAAUGGAUUGGAAAUAUUUUAGAAUCUUACUUCUCAUUAUAUUUAUCUUAAUUUUAUAAAAUCGUACUUUUCUCUAUUAAAACAUAAUGCAAGGUUGACAAGUAUUUUAACCAUGUAAAAAAAUAUUAUAUAGAAAGUAAAAUAAUCUCAUAUCCUAUGCAAUUCUUAAAGAUUCAACAAAAAAAGAAAAUUUAAAAUAUUUUUUUAAAUUAAUCAAAUCACGAUAACAAAUUUAAAAUUUUAACAGCAUAAUUUAUAUGUUUUUAAGAACUUGAAAUUUCAGAAAAGGAAAAAGAGAACAUUAUACAUUACUUGAUAUGCAUACAUAUAAAUUAUAAAUUACUUCAAGUUCAAACCUUAAUUUCUCAAGACUCCCACUAAUGAAUGCCUUCUUACAUGCCAUUAAAUAUUUAUUAGUGUUGUAAAGCUCAUAUACUUCUGAAGGUGUAGAGUUUGAGGCUCAAAACCUAUUAGAUAUGGAAGUAGGAAAACAUAGUUUGAGUCAUACGUUGUAUUGUCCUUAAGGAUUAUUUGGUAAUCCCUCAAGAUUAGACAAACUUCUCUUAUAGAAUUCAAGAUCAGAACAAUAAGUUCUCUUUAAUGUAAUCCGGCAGGUAAAGAAAAGUAGAAGAGCAGAAAGAGCACAGAAAAGCAAUCAUCUUUCAACUGUGAAAGUCUAUUUAUAACUGUAGAAAGAGACGCUGGAGUUUUUUAGAAAAAUCUACUCAUAGACGUUAAAGUUGUUUAGAAAAAUCAAUAGAGACAUUCAAAUAAAAAUCUCACAACACCUAUAAAUGGUUUGACUUAGUAAAAAUAGUCGUUUGCAGAUAAGGUCCAAAAAAUUAAAUAAACAAAAAAUAAAAAUUCUACAACGCAGGGGAGCGAAUCAAUGUAUUUGAACUGAAAUUGAUUUUUUGGUUCAAGUCUGUGCGCGCGAGCCUUACUCCUCUUACUUGCCCUUUACAAACCCAAUUACAAAAAACCAUUUAUAAACCAAGAGAAAAGUAUGUGUCUUUCCGAUGUGAGACAAAAGUUUUUUAAAUACAGAAUUUUAUAACAAUCCCCAACAUAUUUCAAAAAAUUUUCUUUGUUGGGUUUAAGUUUUGAGUGAAAAUGUUUAGAAUCUAGUGUCUUCUAGACUAUGAAUCAGUCCUAGACUGAUAAGAUAUAACAUACAGAUUAAUUGGUGAAGUUCUUGCUUCUAUGAAUUAAGUACUCUUUUUGUAGGCUAAAAUCUCAUCAAUCACAUUAUACUCCACAAUUCUUGCUGUUAACAUUGUUUUGCGCUAAAUAGGUCGUGCGCGCGCCUAGUAAUUAAUAAGUGCUCUAAAGAUUAUGCCACAAUCUCAUAGGAGCGGCCCCACUCCACACUUACAUAGGUGAUACCAUCAAGUGUAUACUGCAAUUUAUAUAUCACCCAUAAGGGAUGUAAAUAUCAUUAAGAGAUUCCAUCUCAUGCUCUCAUUAAUGCAAUCUAGCACUUCUCACACCAUAGGAAGGGACAACGACAAAUAAUGCUAGCAGAACUAACAAGUGACUUGUUAUUACCCAUAUGAACCUUUUUCAUAGAAUCUCUAAUCACAAAGGUUGUGUUACUAUCACUGUUAGUUUCAAAUUGGCUCAAGUCUCAUUCUCUUUGAUGUUUUAUCUAUUAGUUUUCUCCCUAAAGGUUUAGUUAGCAGAUCGGCCAAAUUCACUUCUGACUUCACAUAAUCAAUAAAAAUAGUUCCAUCUUUCAACAGCUGCUUAAUAACAUUAUGUCUUAAACGAAUAUGAUUAUUCUUAACAUUGAAAGUUUUAUUCUUUGUAAUGGCUAUUGCAGCUUGGCAAUCAUAACGCAUUGAUACAGAUGGUAUUGCUUUUAUUACUAACGGAAUAUUUGCAAAGAAGUUUCUUAGCCACUCAGCUUUAGUUCCAACUAAUUUCAGAGUAAUAAACUACGACUCUAUAGUGAAUUUAGUAAUGAUAUUUUGUUUUGUUGAUUUCCAUGCAAUUGUACCACCUCCUAGAGUUAGUGGAUUUUAUUUCAUCUGAACCUAAAAUCCAGUUAGUAUCACUAUAUCAUUCUAAUACAGCGAAAAAUCCACUAUAUAAGAUACCAUAGUUCAUGGUACCUCUCAAAUCUUUCAUUAGUCUAACUAAUGCAGCCCAAUGAUCGUCAUUGAGAUUAUGUGUAAACCUACUCAAUCUACAUACAACAUAAGCUAUAUCAGAUCGUGAAAAAUUCAUUAAAUGCAACAGAUUUCCAAUGAUCUGUGCAUAUUCAAAUUGAGCAAUAGAGUCACCUCUAUUUUUCUUUAAUUGAGAGUUAGGAUCAUAAGGGGUACUCACUGAUUUAACAUCGAAAUGUCUAAACUUUCUUAGAAGUUUCUCAAUAUAAUGCUCUUAUGAUAGCAUUAUACUGGCAUUAUUCUUUAUGAUUCUAACUCUUAAAAUCGCAUUUGCCUCUCCCAUAUCUUUCAUAUCAAAUUUAGAGGUAAGAAAAAUUUUUAUUUUACAAACUAUAUCAUAACUCGUAUAAAAAAUAAGUAUAUCAUCCACAUAUAAAUAAAUAAUCACAGAUUCACCAUUUAUACAUUUUGUAUAUGUGCACUUAUCAACUUCAACAGAGGAAAAACCAUCAUUCAAUAAAACUUGAUCAAAUUUCUCAUGCCACUAUUUGGGUGCUUAUUUUAAACCACAUAAGGAUUUGAAAAGUUUAUAAAUUUUAUUUUCUUGACCAGAAAUAAUACAACCAUCAGGAUAUACAAUAUAAAUUUCUUCUUCCAAGUCUCCAUUUAAAAAAUUUAUUUUAACAUCCAUUUGAUGAAUAACAAGUUUAUGUAUAGAAACUAAAACAAUUAAUACUCUAAUAGAAGAAAUUCAUGCUACAGGGGAAAGGUAUCAAGAUAAUCUAUACUGAGAUGCAUGAUGGUCCGACUUACCACAUACAAAACAAUGUCAUUUCUUUUUAAAGGUGGGAUUAUUAAACUUAGCCUUGUAAUCAGUUUUUUAUUUUCGUAUAUAUUAUUUGACUUAUGCACUUUUCCUUGUACAAUAUUUAUUCUUGUUGUAACGACCCGGAAACCGGACCGACCGGCGCUAGAAUCCAGAUCGGCAUAAGGCCGCCGGGACCCAUAGCAAGCCUAACAUACAUCCUGUAUACCUGUUAAAUCCCAUACAUGAUCAAACAUAUACAUAAAACUUUAAACUUUCUCUUUCAUUUACCAAGUUUAACAUGUGCAUGCACAAACUCAUAAACAUAAAACCCCACACUGGAGCCCUCAUCAAAUAUUCCAAUGGGGCAACAUAUCAUACAUUAAGCUUGGCUUACAUAAACAUCAAUAAAACAUUUCAUUAAAAGAUCAUGUACCAAAAAGGGAUUAACAUACACUAGGGCCAAGCACAAUUCUAUCUUCAAUACAAUUCUUUACAUUACAUCACAUUAUAACCUUUUACAAUACAUGUCCACAUCUAACUAUUACAUAAAACAUGACUCCUUUACUCUUGUUGACUUCCUGAUCUAUCCCGUACCUGCAAACCUGGGGGUUAAGGGAAUGGGGUGAGCUACUAGAGCCCAGUGAGCAGAAUAGUAAAAACAUUAUAUUAAAAUUCAUGCUUUCAUGAAAUGCAUCACAUCACAAACAAAUCACAUCAAGGAUGGACUUGUCACCAAUAGCCCUCUACACAUUCUAAUAGUGCCAGGGGCGUAGCAUGGGCCUCAAUGGUCUUUCUCUUACAUAACAUAACAUUCCAAUGUGUCAGAGGCGUAGAAUGGGCCUCACUGGUCUUUCUCUUACAUCGUACCAGGGGCAUAGCAUGGGCCUCACUGGUCCUACAUACCAUACCAUAUCAUAUCAUAUCAUGUCAUCAUACGAGGGCUAAUGGAUCAUUCAACACCCAUCCACAUCAACAUUAUAUUAUGCAAUACAACAUAUUCGUGAAUUCUAGUGCAAACAACCUAAUAUAUCACAUGGCAUUUGUGAUGCAUGAACAUGCUCGAAAUUUAUUUGCUUUGAAACGUAAAGAUCCAUUCUACUCACCUCAGGCUAGCUCUGAAAAGACACUGAAGCAGCUAUCUCACUGCUGGGGUCCUCGGUUCCUCGGGUCCGAACCUACACAGGUGGACUCAAAUGAGGGACCAAACAUACAUGAACAUGACUCUAAACUAUUCCCCAAAAACCCCCUCAAACACCUUAAAACCAUCAUAGAAAACAUACAAAGGAAGGCUGAACAGGGAACUUUCGGCGGCAGGUUCGGCGGCCGAAAGUCCCUCCAGAGCCGAAACUCAGCCACUUUCGGCGGCACCUUCGAUGGCCGAAAGUGGUUCCAGAGCCAAAACUCGUGCAUGUUCGGCGGCACCUUCGGCGGCCGAAACUCCCCUCCAGAGCCGAAAGUCCAACUUUCGGGGGCAGGGUUCGGCAGCCGAAGGCUUGCCUCCACAGGCAGGUUCGGCGGCCGAAAGUCCUUCGGCUGCCGAACCUGAGUUCUCCCAAAGUGGCAGAACUCAGCCUCCUCAUGCACAUUUUUCCUCCCAAACCAUUCAAACAUGCAUUUAGCUAUUCUACAACAUGCAUACACAAGCAAAUAAGCAUAUAGGGAUCUCAAACUAACCUAAACCCCAACACAAACACAUAUAGCAACUCAUACAACACACAUUAUCCAUAAACUCAACAUUACCCUAAACAUGCAUUUCUACCCCAUAACCCCUCAAAACUUGUUUAAAACAUACAAGAAAGGUAGGAUAUAAGCUUACUUCUUGAAGAUCGAGAGGAGAGACGAUCCUAACUUGGAGAUGGGAGAAAUCUAGCUCCUUGGGUCUCCAAGCUCCAAAACUUGAUUUUAGCUUCAAAAAUUUUCAAAACCAAGUUAAAACUUGUUAAAACUUGAAAGAUUUGAGGAAAAUCAUUAAAACCAACCAUGGGAGGACAUGGACUCACCGUUGGCCGAGAAUAGGAGAGAAAACUCGCCCAUUUUCGGCCAUGGGGCCUUUUAUAGGUGGCUGGCCAGGCCACCUUCGGAAGCCGAAGGUGACUCCAAAACUCAUGCAUGUUCGGCGGCCGAACCUGGAUUUCCCUCUAUGGUCUUUUUCAUUCAAAACUCAAUUUUUUUUCUUACUUAAAACCAUAAAAUACAUGAAAACAUUUUAUAAAAACAUGUUUUUUACUCUUCUAGAGGUUUCCGACAUCCGAGAUUCUACCGGACGGUAGAAAUUCCGAUACUGGAGUCUAGCUGGAUAUUACACUUGUAGUUAGCUCUUUAUCUUUUGUAGUUUUGAGUUUCCUCUUGUCUGUAUCUUCAAUGAUGAUAUGAGAGAUGAAAUCUGAUGGUAUCAAAAGCUUAUAUUUGUGUUUCAAUUGUUACUUGUAGUCACUCUAAGAAUUUGAUAAUUUUUCUAUCAGCAGUCUAACUACAAAUUCAUCUUCUAGAAUAAUGUUUUCAGCUCUAAAAUCUUCUAGAAGUUUAUGGUACUCAUUAAUUUGCAUUUUGAUAUCUUUUCUUUAAUUAUUUUCCAUUUAUAAAAAUUACCAAUUGCAAAUUUUUGUUUUUCAGUAUCCUCAGCAGUAUAUUUUAAGUUUAUCAAAUCCUAUAUUUCUUUUACUUCCUUGUAGGAAUAGUAUACAUCAAAGAGAUCGUUAGAAAGAAUACUAACUAUUAUAUGCCUACACACCUUAUUAGAAUAUAUCCAGAUUUUACACAAUUUCAUAUCAAUAAAAGGUGCAGAUCUUGAUUCUGUGAGUGUUGAAGCUACGCUAUGCAUGUCAAGCAUUGAAAAAAUUAUCUCUUGCCAUCUCUUGAAAUUCUAAUCCGAAAAAACUUCAAUUUUCGUUUGACAUAUGAAACCGUAGGUAGAAGAGACCCACUAUUUGCAGCAGUAGAAAACGUGGCGGUAAAAAGCACAGUAAAAGCAGAAACAGUGAUAAUGUUAUUGGAAGCAGACAGUGCAGAAACAAAGAAAAUAACAACAUUUAGUUCCAUUUGUUUAAAGUUUUAAAUAAUUCUUAAGAUUGUUAGAUAUGAAAAUAGGAAAACGUAUAAAAGCAGAAACAGUGAUAAUGUUAUUAGAAGCAGACAGUGCAAAAACAAAGAAAAUAACAACAUUUGGUUCCAUUUGUUUAAAGUUUUAAAUAAUUCUUAAGAUUGUUAGAUAUGAAAAUAGGAAAACGUAGUUUGAGUCAUGUGUUGCACUCUCUUUAAUAUAAUCCAACAGGUAAAGCAAGGUAAGAAAGUAGAGAGCGCAUAAAAAAAUAAUUAUCUAUGAACUGUAAAAGUAAAAUCUAUUUAUAGCCAUAGAAAAAGAAAUAUGAAAAUUAUUUAGAAAAAAUUAGAAAAAACAUUAAAACUAUUAGAAAAAUCUACUCAAAGACGUUAAAUCUAUUUAAAAAAAUCAGGAGAAACGUUUAAAUAAAAAUCUCACAACAGCUAUAAACGAUUUGAAUUUAAUAAAAAUAGUUAUUUAUCGAUAAAAUUCAAAAAAUUAAAUAAAUAAAAAAUAAAAAUUCUAUAAUUUUAUUUAUCCGCAUAUGCAAAAUAAUAAAUUGAUAAAUUUAAACUAAAAUUAAUUUUUUAAUCCAAAUUCAUGUGCGGAAAUUUUACUCCUAUUUUUUUUCUUUACUAUUCUAAUAAUAAAAAGACCAUUUAUGAAAAAAAAAAAUUUACCUUUCCAAUGUGGAAACAAAACUUAUGAAAUAUAAAAUUUUACAAUAAAACCUUAAAUUCUCACAAAUUAAUCCAGGAAAGUUAAUUUCUUGCUUUUUCAGUCCUAUAUAAGCCCAAAAGAAAAGCCGGAAUUCUUGAACAAUGACCGUUCCCUAAAUACAGAACAGGUAGCAAAAUUAAAACGCGCAUGCACAGAACAGAAGUACAUUUCAAAUACCAACAUCCACAUAUUGCAAACAAAUUUUGACAUUAACAUCGGUCCUUCAAUUUCAAGCAUAUUAAACUCCACUUAACAACAAAGAGCUACAGGCCCUAAGAUCCUAAACCCAUCUACCGAACAAAAUGCACAAACAGAGCCCUCUGUCUCUCCAUUUAAGACACAGUUACCUCAACUUUUUUGGCCUUGGGUGGUGGAGGAUGCUUCUCAACAACAACUGUUAGAACCCCAUUUUCGCAUUUGGCAGUAAUGGCAGAUACAUUGGCAUUUUCAGGUAACCGGAACUUCCUUAUCAGCCUCUGAGGUGUCCUCCUCUCAAGUCUUAUGUACUUGCAGCCUUCUUCCUCACCAUCUUCGCGUUUCCUCUUCCCUCCACUCCUAAUCACAAGUGUGUUCUCAUCUUCAACAGUCACCUAUAGCAUCCAAAUGAACCAAAAAUUAGUAACAAAGGAUCACAUUCACAUUUUCAGAUGAAUCAACAAUCCCAAUUCCAACAACGGAGUACGGGGGAAUUGUGAUUGUACCUGA
RNAcentral lists this long non-coding RNA (23685 nucleotides) under Manihot esculenta (cassava). RNAcentral describes it as "long non-coding RNA (MESC_LNC006332)". Lineage: Eukaryota; Viridiplantae; Streptophyta; Magnoliopsida; Malpighiales; Euphorbiaceae. The record is from RNAcentral.